ACUUUUCCAUGACCGAAGAUACCUGUUGCAGACAUAAUUAAACAAAGUAAAAUAAAAGUGUGAACUCUCUAACAGCUCAACAUUAUUAGAUGUAAAAUGAUCACAAACUCAACGUUAUCAAGGCGGUCAGCUGCCAUGGACUCAAGUCUCAUGUAACAGUCCACAAACCACUGACAGUUGACCUCGAGAGGAGCCUGGCCAAAGCGGAUAAUCCAUUGACACUUAUAUCUUAACCAUUACAACCUCUCAGACAUGUUGAAAAUAUAAUUAAGUAAAUAAAACAGUGCUCACACUAAACAACUUAAUUCUUCGUCUUUUAAACGAGACAGUCCACACAAUUCAAAAACUUACCUUUCCAAGCUGGUCACCCAACCAUAAGGUGUCCUAGAAGGUCGGGCCAAAGCAGACAAUACCUUGACAGUAGUGCCAUUACAAACUCAAAGACCAAAAAGGAAAAAAUACUUGCACAAAGCAUACUCGCUCUAACAACUUAAAAUCUUUUAUACGAGACAGUUCACACAAUCCAAAAUCUUAUCUUUGCAAGCCGGUCACCCAACCAUAAGGUGGACUAGCGAGUCGGGCCAAAA
RNAcentral lists this unclassified non-coding RNA (587 nucleotides) under Hevea brasiliensis (rubber tree). Lineage: Eukaryota; Viridiplantae; Streptophyta; Magnoliopsida; Malpighiales; Euphorbiaceae. The record is from RNAcentral.